CCUACGGGGGGCAGCAGUGAGGAAUAUUGGUCAAUGGCCGUAAGGCUGAACCAGCCAAGUCGCGUGAAGGAAGACGGAUCUAUGGUUUGUAAACUUCUUUUAUCGGGGAAUAAAGGUAUCCACGUGUGGAUAUUUGCAUGUACCCUAUGAAUAAGCAUCGGCUAACUCCGUGCCAGCAGCCGCGGUAAUACGGAGGAUGCGAGCGUUAUCCGGGUUUAUUGGGUUUAAAGGGUGCGUAGGUUGGUUUUUAAGUCAGCGGGGAAAGUUUGUGGCUCAAAAAUAGAAUUGCCGUUGAAACUGGAAGACUUGAGUGGGUGUGAGGUAGGCGGAAUGCGUGGUGUAGCGGUGAAAUGCAUAGAUAUCACGCAGAACUCCGAUUGCGAAGGCAGCUUACUAAGCCAUAACUGACGCUGAGGCACGAAAGCGUGGGGAUCAAACAGGAUUAGAUACCCGAGUAGUC
RNAcentral lists this ribosomal RNA (460 nucleotides) under uncultured bacterium. Its description in RNAcentral is "partial 16S ribosomal RNA". It matches the Rfam family "Bacterial small subunit ribosomal RNA", at positions 338 to 795 of the family's 1533-position model. The record is from RNAcentral.